UGGGGAAUAUUGGACAAUGGGGGCAACCCUGAUCCAGCAAUGCCGCGUGUGUGAAGAAGGUCUUCGGAUUGUAAAGCACUUUCGACGGGGACGAUGAUGACGGUACCCGUAGAAGAAGCCCCGGCUAACUUCGUGCCAGCAGCCGCGGUAAUACGAAGGGGGCUAGCGUUGCUCGGAAUGACUGGGCGUAAAGGGCGUGUAGGCGGUUUACACAGUCAGAUGUGAAAUCCCCGGGCUUAACCUGGGAGCUGCAUUUGAUACGUGUAGACUAGAGUGUGAGAGAGGGUUGUGGAAUUCCCAGUGUAGAGGUGAAAUUCGUAGAUAUUGGGAAGAACACCGGUGGCGAAGGCGGCAACCUGGCUCAUGACUGACGCUGAGGCGCGAAAGCGUGGGGAGCAAACAGGAUUAGAUACCCUG
Molecule: ribosomal RNA, 417 nt
Filed under: uncultured bacterium
Lineage: Bacteria
Description: partial 16S ribosomal RNA
Rfam family: Bacterial small subunit ribosomal RNA
Source: RNAcentral